GACGAACGCUGGCGGCGUGCUUAACACAUGCAAGUCGAACGGAAAGGCCCUGCUUUUGUGGGGUGCUCGAGUGGCGAACGGGUGAGUAACACGUGAGUAACCUGCCCUUGACUUUGGGAUAACUUCAGGAAACUGGGGCUAAUACCGGAUAGGAGCUCCUGCUGCAUGGUGGGGGUUGGAAAUUUUCGGCGGUUGGGGAUGGACUCGCGGCUUAUCAGCUUGUUGGUGGGGUAGUGGUUUACCAAGGCUUUGACGGGUAGCCGGCCUGAGAGGGUGACCGGCCACAUUGGGACUGAGAUACGGACCAGACUCCUACGGGAGGCAGCAGUGGGGAAUAUUGCACAAUGGGAGGAAGCCUGAUGCAGAAACGCCGCGUGCGGGAUGACGGCCUUCGGGUUGUAAACCGCUUUCGCCUGUGACGAAGCGUGAGUGACGGUAAUGGGUAAAGAAGCACCGGCUAACUACGUG
RNAcentral lists this ribosomal RNA (468 nucleotides) under uncultured bacterium. Its description in RNAcentral is "partial 16S ribosomal RNA". It matches the Rfam family "Bacterial small subunit ribosomal RNA", at positions 28 to 507 of the family's 1533-position model. The record is from RNAcentral.